RNAcentral lists this ribosomal RNA (459 nucleotides) under uncultured bacterium. RNAcentral's name for it is "partial 16S ribosomal RNA". It matches the Rfam family "Bacterial small subunit ribosomal RNA", at positions 338 to 795 of the family's 1533-position model. The record is from RNAcentral.
CCUACGGGUGGCUGCAGUGAGGAAUAUUGGUCAAUGGGCGCGAGCCUGAACCAGCCAAGUAGCGUGAAGGAUGACUGCCCUACGGGUUGUAAACUUCUUUUAUAAAGGAAUAAAGUGAGGCACGUGUGCCUUUUUGUAUGUACUUUAUGAAUAAGCAUCGGCUAACUCCGUGCCAGCAGCCGCGGUAAUACGGAGGAUCCGAGCGUUAUCCGGAUUUAUUGGGUUUAAAGGGUGCGUAGACGGGUUAUAAAGUCAGUGGUAAAAUCGUGCAGCUCAACCGAAUACAGACGUUGAAACUGGUGAUCUUGAGUGGGGUAGAAGUAUGCGGAAGGCGUGGUGUAGCGGUGAAAUGCAUAGAUAUCACGAAGAACUCCGAUUGCGAAGGCAGCAUACCAGAGUGCGACUGACGCUGAAGCUCGAAAGUGUGGGUAUCGAACAGGAUUAGAUACCCCUGUAGUC